This is a non-coding RNA of Brevibacillus sp. CF112, 73 nucleotides long. NCBI's taxonomy places the organism in Bacteria, Bacillati, Bacillota, Bacilli, Caryophanales, Paenibacillaceae. The record is from Rfam.
GGGGCAUUAGCUCAGCUGGGAGAGCGCUACACUGGCAGUGUAGAGGUCAGCGGUUCGAACCCGCUAUGCUCCA